RNAcentral lists this ribosomal RNA (497 nucleotides) under uncultured bacterium. RNAcentral's name for it is "partial 16S ribosomal RNA". It matches the Rfam family "Bacterial small subunit ribosomal RNA", at positions 28 to 507 of the family's 1533-position model. The record is from RNAcentral.
GAUGAACGCUGGCGGCGUGCCUAAUACAUGCAAGUCGAGCGAACAGACGAGGAGCUUGCUCCUCUGACGUUAGCGGCGGACGGGGGAGUAACACGUGGAUAACCUACCUAUAAGACUGGGAUAACUUCGGGAAACCGGAUCUAAUACCGGAUAAUAUAUUGAACCGCAUUGUUCAAUAGUGAAAUUCGGUUUUUCGGUCAGUUAUAGAUGGAUCCGCGCCGCAUUAGCUAGUUGGUAAGGUCACGGCUUACCAAGGCAAGGAUGCGUAGCCGACCUGAGAGGGUGAUCGGCCACACUGGAACUGAGACACGGUCCAGACUCCUACGGGAGGCCGCAGUAGGGAAUCUUACGCAAUGGGCGAGAGCUUGACGGAGCAACGCGGCGUGAGUGAUGAAGGUCUUCGGAUCGUGAAACUCUGUUAUUAGGGAAGAACAAAUGUGUAAGUAACUAUGCCCGUAUUGACGGUAACUAAUAAGAAAGCCACGGCUAACUACGUG